Salvelinus fontinalis (brook trout) is the source of this 1065-nucleotide long non-coding RNA. RefSeq lists it as uncharacterized. The transcript is spliced from 3 exons. NCBI's taxonomy places the organism in Eukaryota, Metazoa, Chordata, Actinopteri, Salmoniformes, Salmonidae. The record is from RefSeq and is a predicted model, not a curated record.
GAUAUGGAGCUAGCGCUGACAGUGGAGGAGACGCCAGCACUAGCGAUUAGCAUGAGUUUCCAGGGGGCGCCGCAAUGGCUGCUGGGAAAUUCCAUCAGAGGCACGAAUCUGUCGCUUUGUCGUAAAGUGACAGCCCCCUGUGGCACAGCACAGCACAGUAAGAAGAGUCCCAAGUGAGCCUCAGCAUCUGCCGGCUGGAGAAGGUGCGCUGUGAUGUUAUGAUCACCAGUGGAGAGGGAUAUACACAGGGGCUCGCCUGUCUGGAAAAAUAAGCUGGAUGGUCAUUUAAUCCCUCUAACCAGCUGGAAAGAUAAAUAUUCCACGGUGGGGAGUGAGGCCCCUGUGUCUCUCCACUCACACAGACUGGAGAUGAGGGGAAGAGUCUUGCUCUUCACAGAGAUCAGACGCUCAAGUACUUUAAUAAAGUCCUCCACUCUGCCAGACAUAGACAAGGGGAUGGCUGCAGAGACCUAUAUAGGCCCCACACACAUUUAGCACAUUUUGUUUUGAAAAAUGUUUCAUUUCUGUGUUCGCUAACUCUCCUCUGUUCGUACACACACGUUGCGGAAACAAAAAAAUGCUUCCCAUCAAUUUCUGGCAUGUUGCAGCAAUCAAACCUGGAGCAGUUUGGAGUUAAGAGUGUAAACCAAGUGUCAUAGGAAAGUGUCAUCAUUUUUUAACUGUAACUGUGUAAAAAUAUAUAUAGAAACAUUGCAGGGGAAUCCUGUCUCUCUUUGAGUCUUUGUGGUACACAGAGCUGGGAGCAGAGGAGAACAUUGGCAUUCCAGAGGCAGGCAAAGCCCUUCAGACAGCAUCGCUGUUAGGAUGAGUCAGCCUGACCUCACCUCUCAGUUUGGAGACAGCAGCACAGAGGAGUUUUGACUUCACAGAGAUGUUCAGCAGUGGGUCAACCACAGAAGAAGUGAGGGCUUUUAGUGAUUGGUCACAAGAAUCUGAAAACAGGAUAUAACAGUCAGAUGCCUCUCAAACCAAGCAAAAUAUUAUUUGAUAAGCAGGUAUGAGCAAGUCAACUGUAUGACUUUCACAGAUACAAAAAUGUAAUGA